Molecule: non-coding RNA, 177 nt
Organism: Procambarus clarkii (red swamp crayfish)
Lineage: Eukaryota; Metazoa; Arthropoda; Malacostraca; Decapoda; Cambaridae
Source: RefSeq, a predicted model, not a curated record
GGCCAUUUUGUCGUCAGUGCAGUCAGAGGACAAACGCUUCAUGCAAAUAUUAUCAAUCUGUGGUGCAAGCCUUACCUUGUUGAGCGCAAUAAGAAAUUGUCUUCAAAACCUGGAAUAUUUGCAAUGUAAUAUUAAAGACCACGAGUAAUCUGGGCUUCGAACUCAACAGAAAAGCCU